AGGACUAACGCUGGCGGCGUGCCUAACACAUGCAAGUCGAACGAGAGUAGCAAUACUCUAGUAGCAGACGGGUGAGUAACACGUGGUCAACCUACCUCUAUGUGGGGGAUAACUAGCCGAAAGGUUAGCUAAUACCGCAUACGAUCGUCGAGCGGCAUCGCUUGACGAUGAAAGGAGCAAUCCGCAGAGAGACGGGACCGCGUCCCAUUAGCUAGUUGGUGGGGUAAUGGCCUACCAAGGCGACGAUGGGUAGCUGGCUUGAGAGAGCGACCAGCCACACUGGGACUGAGACACGGCCCAGACUCCUACGGGAGGCAGCAGUGAGGAAUUUUCCGCAAUGGGCGAAAGCCUGACGGAGCGACGCCGCGUGUGGGAAGAAGGCCUUCGGGUCGUAACCACUGUCGAAGGGGAGAUAUGACGGUACCCUUGGAGGAAGCCCCGGCUAACUACGUGCCAGCAGCCGC
This 464-nucleotide ribosomal RNA is filed under the name uncultured bacterium. RNAcentral's name for it is "SSU rRNA". It matches the Rfam family "Bacterial small subunit ribosomal RNA", at positions 26 to 518 of the family's 1533-position model. The record is from RNAcentral.